RNAcentral lists this transfer RNA (77 nucleotides) under Clostridioides difficile. RNAcentral's name for it is "tRNA-Met(cat)". It matches the Rfam family "tRNA". From Rfam's summary of the family: Transfer RNA (tRNA) molecules are approximately 80 nucleotides in length. Their secondary structure includes four short double-helical elements and three loops (D, anti-codon, and T loops). The record is from RNAcentral. Lineage: Bacteria; Bacillati; Bacillota; Clostridia; Peptostreptococcales; Peptostreptococcaceae.
GGCGGUAUAGCUUAGUUGGCUAGAGCGUUCGGUUCAUACCCGAAAGGUCAUAGGUUCGACUCCUAUCACCAGCUCCA